Molecule: ribosomal RNA, 686 nt
Filed under: uncultured bacterium
Lineage: Bacteria
Description: bacterial SSU rRNA
Rfam family: Bacterial small subunit ribosomal RNA
Source: RNAcentral
GGCGAACGGGUGAGUAACACGUGGGCAACCUGCCCUCAGCUCUGGGACAACUCCGGGAAACCGGGGCUAAUACCGGAUACGACAGAUCCUCGCAUGAGGUGUCUGUGGAAAGAUUUAUCGGCUGAGGAUGGGCCCGCGGCCUAUCAGCUUGUUGGUGGGGUGAUGGCCUACCAAGGCGACGACGGGUAGCCGGCCUGAGAGGGCGACCGGCCACACUGGGACUGAGACACGGCCCAGACUCCUACGGGAGGCAGCAGUGGGGAAUAUUGCGCAAUGGGCGGAAGCCUGACGCAGCGACGCCGCGUGAGGGAUGAAGGCCUUCGGGUUGUAAACCUCUUUCAGCAGGGACGAAGCGAGAGUGACGGUACCUGCAGAAGAAGCACCGGCCAACUACGUGCCAGCAGCCGCGGUAAUACGUAGGGUGCAAGCGUUGUCCGGAAUUAUUGGGCGUAAAGAGCUCGUAGGCGGUCUGUCGCGUCGGCUGUGAAAACUCGGGGCUCAACCCCGAGCCUGCAGUCGAUACGGGCAGACUAGAGUGCUGUAGGGGAGACUGGAAUUCCUGGUGUAGCGGUGAAAUGCGCAGAUAUCAGGAGGAACACCGGUGGCGAAGGCGGGUCUCUGGGCAGUAACUGACGCUGAGGAGCGAAAGCGUGGGGAGCGAACAGGAUUAGAUACCCUGGUAGUCC